Molecule: ribosomal RNA, 497 nt
Filed under: uncultured bacterium
Lineage: Bacteria
Description: partial 16S ribosomal RNA
Rfam family: Bacterial small subunit ribosomal RNA
Source: RNAcentral
GACGAACGCUGGCGGCGUGCCUAAUACAUGCAAGUCGAGCGAACGGACGAGAAGCUUGCUUUUCUGAUGUUUGCGGAGCAGGGGUGUGUAACACGUGGAAACUCUACCUAUAAGAGUGGGAUAACUUCGGGAAACCGGAGCUAAUCCCGGAUAAUCUUUUGAAGCGCAUGGGUCAAAAGUGAAAGACGGUCUUGCUGUCACUUCUCGAUGGAUCCGCGCUGCAUUAGCUAGUUGGUAAGGUAACGGCUUACCAAGGCAACGAUGCAUAGCCGAGCUGAGAGAGUGAUCGGUCGCACUGGAACUGAGACACGGUCCAGACUCCUACGGGAGGCAGCAGUAGGGAAUCGUCCGCAAUAGUCGAAAGCCUGACGGAGCAACGCCGCGUGAGUGAUGGAGGUCUUCGGAUCGUAAUACUCUGUUAUGAGGGAAGAACAUAUGUGUAAGUAACUGUGCACAGCUUGACGGUACCUAAUCAGAAAGCCACGGCUAACUACGUG